UUCUAACAUUCAGUGUUAGGAAUAACGCAAGAAAAUAAACUGAACAUUUUCAAAAUUACUUUGAAAAUGAUAAACGUAAAUUACAAUGAGAGAUAAACAUAAAGAUUACAGAUUAUUUAACAGGACAGACAAUAGAUUGUUCAGAGAAGGUUACUAAGGCUACAACUAACUGUAAGAAAUUACACUGAAAUUUCCCAAUACAACACAAUUAAAUGGUCACAUAACUUUUUUAGUAAACACAUGACAACAUCAACACAAAUACAAUUAAUAAUAACUACCCAAUAAUAUGAAUUCCAAUAAAGUUCUUCAUUCAACAAUGUAUUUUGAAACAUUACAAGAUUUAGGUUAGACCUUAUCUGGCAACUGCUCCUACACGUUAUCUAAACACGACCUUUACUUCACUAUCAUGCCGCAAAAUAAUUUUCUUGGGUAAUAGCAAUAUGAGUCUAUAACCAAUUGUAUUGUUUCACUUUUUAUGACUGUGUCUCAAAGUAAAGUGCUCAUGGUUACAUGUAAGAUUUAACUGAUAUAAUUAUUGCUCAAUUCUCAAACACAUAUUUUCCAUAAAACCAAAUACAUGAAUGGCCUUCCAAUAUAGAACUAUGUACUCGUAUUGUAUCUUCAAUAGAACACUGUUGAAUGUUGGCAUAACACCCAUCCUCAAUUCAACCCUGGUGCAAGUUUUUAUCAGCAUCCAAAAACGGAUUGUGUGGAAAGAGCAUUGAGGAAACUUGGGGUUAAGUCAAACUAGAGGUCAGUGAUAUGAAAUAACCACCUGAAAUUGGAAAGUCAACGGGUUCUCCUCCAGAAAUAGUUUUGAAUGUUGUGGACAUUAUGAGGCAUAACAACGGUUGUGUCUCUGCUUCUGAUGUUCUAUUUUAUGGGGUUGCUACGGAAAUGCAAGAAAGAAACUGUAAUGUCCAUAAGUGCUGGACAACUGAGCUGACACAGAUAUAGUGGUAAUCAGCAGCGCUGACCACCUAGGCCAGAGGAUGAAAAUCUUGUUACUCUCUCACUCAUUCAAACAAGAACUGAUGCGAAGCUAAGUAUUCAGCAUUUAGAUUGUUAGAUCUUAUCUAGACAGACAGAUAUGUUUAAGAUAAACAGUGACUUGUUUUAUAGACUCAUAAGCAAUGUGAGAUGAUAUUCACUUAUCGAGAUAAUUCGGGCGCAAAAUACUUCUCGUUGGUUCUUAUCGAUUUUAAAGAUUACUCGUUAGAACUCAGCGAUGAGGCGACACACGGAAGUCAAAGCUUCGAGUUAAAUGUGAGUAGACAUCAACUGGACUAGCACAAAACGUUACAGGACAGCUAAAUUAUUGAAAGCUUAGACACAGAUGUUGGUCCACAACACAAACAUAUAAUAAAUGGAAAUGAGACGUACGCACUGAUUACAGUAGAAGAGGGUGGAGUCAAGUGUGAUUCUCCAGGGGUUCCAGUGGGCUAGUGGAGGUAGAGCGAGACAGCAUGGACACUCACCCAUCACUUAGUGUGUGAACAACUGACACUUGCACAUAGUCACUAUAACACACAACGUCCUCAGAUGCCACCCAAUACGGUACUAAACACACAACCACAGCAGACCUUACUGUUCUCUACUAUCUUUCUUUCAUCUAAGAUAUUUUUACUGUUUAAUUUACAAGAGUCGGUUUGAAGUCAGUUACUGUUUAUCAAAUGGAUUUCAAGAGACUUUGAACUCGAAAUCUAAAUUUACAGUUUUGUAAAUAUUUUGCUACGUGAAGUACGGUUUUACUUUCCUCUGAUACGGUUUGUAUAUGUGAUCUACACUGGUUUGUGUUUUUGACUCACGUUACUAAACAUUGUGAACUCAUUGUUAUGAUGACAUGUGAUUUUAACCCUAAGUAGCUCAAGUGGAUAUUUACUCAAUAAAUAAACAGUCAACUCCCAGAAUCUCAAACGGCAUGUUGAAAAUUUUCUCCUCACUGUAUAUUUGUUGUUAAUUAAACAUAUGCAAUACACUAGUUAAUUAUUUAUAAAGAUAUUCUAUGAAAUACAUAUUAUUAAUAAUUUAUAUGAAAGUGAUUGCCUUGUUCAUUAACUUAAGUUAAUAUACGUAUAUUUAUUAUAAUUUUACUUUUGUAACACCCAAAUCAUAAAACCAUUAAAACACUUAAGGAAUACUUAAGAGAAUAAAAUAAAAUGUUGAAGUUAUUUAAACCAAUACAAGCUGGUGUUAGAAAUAACAAUAGCAGUGAAACAUAAUAAUGAUCAAUAAUAUGCAGUAUUAAAAAGAUCUAAUAAAAAUAGAUAUAUAAAAAUUCAUCACCUAAUACUGUUUUAUUGAAUUAACAAACUUGGUACAUUACUGAAAGUAAAACAAACUUACGCAACUUAACGACAUAUAAACGGAUUAAAAUAUCAAGAAAAGUUUCUGUUCCAAAACAUUUAAGUCCUGUAAAUAAAGUAAUAGCUUUAGUUGAAAGGAAUAAACAUAAAUUAUGAAACAACAGAUAACAAUAAUAAAUUUAUACACAAAGCUAAAACACACUGAGCUAAGCUCUGCAAUAUUUAAAAUAAUUUAGCUGUGCAGUCAACUCUGCUUACUAAUCUAUUAACAACUGUGAUGGUAGCUACAAGAUCCCUCAAGAGUAAAGGAAUUGAAAAAUUCAAAUUGAAUCACUUUGGAAUGCUAUUCUUGUGUGGGGGCUAAUUUAAAUAUGCAAAAUACAUGAUAAUUUUUUGGCAAAUGGUACUCAAUGUACAAGUUAAGUACUCCUCUGCAUCGUUACAAUAAUAUACAUGUUAUAUACUCAAAUGUUGUCUAUAAUUGCAACAAACUGAAAUGUUGUAUAUAAUUGCAACAAACUAAAGAAGUUAUUACUUUAAGUAAUGGAAUAUAUAAAUAGCUUGACCAAUUAGUGAUUAUAUUUCCUAUUUACCUUUUAUUUGAAUUUCCUGAGUAACCAUGCCGCUGCAGACAGAACAACUAUAUAAUUAUAUGUAUAAUUAAUUCUUCUCUUAUAUUUUAUUGCAUAUAGAAUAAGCCAAUUUUUUUAAUAUGAUGUUUUAGUUUUAUUGCACUUUUAAAAACAACGUAAUAUUUUUCACAUUCAAGAUAAAAAUUACCUGAAAUAGUUGCCACUUUCUUGCAACAAAAACCCUUAUAAUGUAGUAACACCAGUUAGUUAUCUUUGUAACACAAUAUUUGAUGUCUGUUUCACUUCUCUAAUUUGAAAAGAACUAUGUUUUCAUAGAAACUAAUUUGAGAUAAAAAAAACUAAUUUAAUAAAAUUGAUACAAUAAUGAGGAAAGUUUGAUAAAUUACUGAUAUUUAUUUCAUGUUCAUAUUAACUAAUGUACAACUAAAAGUAUUUUAAAAAUUAAUGCACUAUAAUAACUACCUUCAACUAGUAAAACACUUUUUGGUUUUAAACAUAAAUUUACAGUAAGUUUCAUGUUAUGCUAGAAAUCUUAAAUUCUACACUAUAAUUAAUUUUCCAGUAACUGAAAACCUCAGCAGGUUUGCAGUCUUCACUGGUAUUACACCAUUCUUCUCUUUUUUACGGGAUUUUGUUAAGAGUUAAAACAUUAAUUUAUUGUCAUAGCCUUGUAUUCUAAAUACAUUGCGGAUAUGAGUGUACUCUGUUGUUUUGCUUUUGUUGUUUUUAUUUUGUGUACAUCCAAUUUUUGAGGACUUCACACAAUUUGUAUGUUGUGUUUCCUAACUCUUGUAUCUCACAGUGCUUUGGUAUAAUUUAUAGUUUUUAAGUUGUUUUCAAUGUUAUACAUUAGGUUAUUCAUCUAAAUAAUAUAGGUAUUGGAUUGCAGUUCUCAAAGUAUUGUUAAUUUUUUAAGUAAAUUUUAAUAUGUACUAACAAUUAUUUGGAAUUUGAUGAUUAUACUUUAACAUUACACGAUUACACAUUAACGUAAUAAAAACUAUAACUGGGCUCAAAAUUAUUAUUUUUAACUUUUAAUCACCCAAGAAAAUUGAGGUCUAAAACAAUUCUUUUUGUAAUCGAAAUUUGUCGUCUUUGGGUAAACAAUAAAUUCUGAAACGCGAAGGGAAAUAAUUGUUAUGGUUUUACUAAGAAAUUUAAUACAGGUAACUGGAUUAUUUUGACAUUUGAAAUGAUUAAUUAAAUUAUGAACAUAAAAGCUAUGCCAACUAGGAAUCAUUAAUUCAAAUUAAUAAUAAUUUGAAUUCUUGUGUCGAAAAUAUUAUUUCACGAAUCUAAAAAUCUUCAUCAUUAUUACUUUUCAGACUGUUAUAUUUGUUAGGAUCACCUAUUCUUAAGAUCCAACUGCUUUUAAUAACCAAAAGUGCAUUAUACUGUCAUCUGGUGGAGAAACAGUGAACUGUAAGACUUGUUCUUGAUUAGUGCUACAGUCUGGUGAGCUGACUGAGAAUUACUCCACUGAAGGACCAAUUCAAAUUAAAUAAGAGUUUAAGUACAUUAAUAAUAUGUCCCAGUCACAUCAUAAAAAAUAAAUUGUCUUGAAGAACCUAGUAAAACAAGUAAAAUUGUCUUCAGGAAUUGGUUAAGAUCUCUCCAUUUUCACUAUAGAACACACGUGUUGUUUUCAACUCCAAACCUUUCCUUGCUUCUUCCUCAAAUCUUUUAUUUACAGAGGUAAUUUUUUAAAUCUGGCCAGUAAUCCAAUAAAUAUCAACAAUUACUAAAUUAUUAACUAAUUAGUACAACAAUUUCUAUUGUUUUCUUGAUAUGUGCCAUUUCAAUAUUAUAUUUGUGAAGGAAACAGGAUAUUUCCGGACAUUUGCCUUCGUUCAAUGA
Molecule: long non-coding RNA, 4756 nt
Filed under: Homalodisca vitripennis (glassy-winged sharpshooter)
Lineage: Eukaryota; Metazoa; Arthropoda; Insecta; Hemiptera; Cicadellidae
Description: uncharacterized LOC124369936
Source: RNAcentral